AGAUAGGACCUCGAGGAACUUUCCAAGUGAUUAAUUCCGUUUUGAAUAUGGUACAUUUAAGAUGAUGUCAAGAUACCCAAUGGUCUUGAGUUCAGCACAGAGAUUGUUCGUUUCUGACUCCAUAUCUCAAAUAUAUUGUGAGACUCCCCACCCCCCUCCAGUAUAUCUUCAAGAAGUAAGAGGAGAUCUGCUUAAAAAACUCAAGGAUUAUUUUUUUUUUAAAUAAGAAUGUUGAGGGAAGAAAAUACUAUUCAACAACUCUAUUGAAGAUUUUAUGAUGUAGCACAGGAAUAAGCUGCAACUAAAGGAAACUUUCCUUAAAGUACUAUUUAUUAAAAAUUGGAAUGCAUUCCUGAGGACAAAUCAAGGGAUGGCACACAACAUCCAAACUUCCUGCACAGGUAGAGAGGUGUUAUCAACUUUCUUACACUCCCAAACUUCUCUGCUACCUUGAGGACUGUUUAAGAGGAGCAGGACAUGUUGUUUGCAGUAAGAGAAAUUUGAAGGUACUCACUUUUAUGGAAGACAUAAAAGAGAAUCUCUUUUAUAUUAUUUAAGAUCAUCCUUGAUACACUUAUUCUGAAAGAUAAUAUAGCCAAAUAUCUUCCUCUUUGUUAAAUCUUUACAACACUAAAAUCCUGAAAAGUCAGCGUAGAAUCCAUUCGUUUUUCCAGUCAGAUUGGGCGUAAUUCUUAAUUGAUAGGACAACAUCUAAUAUGCUUAUGAAGUUCCAUCCCACAACACCUGCUCUUCAGAGUGGAACUCAGACUAGCGCUUGGGAAUACCAACUCCAGAAAUUCAGAUCAAGUCCAUAAUUGGGGUAGGGAGGGGCUGUAGGCGGGGCCUCCGGAAGGGGAGGAAGCGUCGUUAGAAAGCUGUGGGACCAGUCCACGGCUGUCACAACUUGAGUUAAGCCUUGUAGUAUCUGAGCGUGCGAGGAUCUGGUGUGUGAGUAGCAUUCUCAAUGAGAACUAGUUUCAUUUGGCAUUUGAGUGGAAUCUGCAACCAGAGGAGUUUCGUCCUCCCGGACUGCUGAGAAAUGCGACAGCUGCAGAGGUGACUGUCGCCAGCAAUAGGGAGCCGGCAGGAAGACUACUGUUGUGGAGAAUGGGCUGUACCGAAAGGUCCAAGUAGCCCCAGGGUUUUAGUGAGAAGGGAAGUGGAACGCAGUCAGGGAUUGGGAGCUACAAGGCGUGCACCGGUUUGAAGCCGGAGAAAAAGUCGGGAGAGAGAGCCGCGUCUAAUUACUUUAGAAGCUGCCACCACUCGAGUGCCGGACUUGUGAGUAUUCUGCGUCUCUUGUCGUCAGACUGAAGUUGGAGAGCUCUCCCAGUUAGGCGACGAGAUCCUACAACUACCUUCUCCUGCCCUCCCCACUUGCCUCAGGGACCCAACAACUGCCACCCUUUCCUUGCCUACCGGAUGCAGGGCAAGGGCAGGAGCUGACCAGCGCCGCCCCCUUCCGACCCAGGAGGUGGAGAUACCCCCCGCCGGUCCAGCCAAAUUCAACACCUGUUUUCUCUUCCCGCUGCUCCUAUAUUCCCGACACCUCCUCCGCCUUGCCCUAUCCCUCCUCCCUAGAGACAGGGGAGGAGAAAAAGGAAGUUCAAGUCGUCAUGACAGAGCUGAAAGCAAAGGAUCCCAGGGCUCCCCACGUGGCGGGCGGUGCGCCCUCUCCCACCCAGGUCGGAUCCCCUCGGCUGGGACGUCCAGACGCUGGCCCCUUCCAGGAGAGCCAGCCCUCCGACGCCUCGUCCGUGGUCUCGGCCAUCCCCAUCUCCCUGGACGGGCUGCUCUUCCCUCGGCCCUGCCAGGGACAGGACCCCCGGGACGGAAAGACGCAGGCCCAGCAGUCGCUGUCAGAAGUGGAGGGGGCGUAUCCCAGAGUUGAAGCCACAGGGGCUGCAGGAGGUGGCAGCUCUAGACCCCCAGAAAAGGACAGCGGGCUGCUGGACAGUGUCUUGGACACGCUACUGGCGCCCUCAGAUCCGGGGCAAAGCCACGCCAGCCCUCCCACCUGCGAGGCCACCAGCCCUUGGUGCCUUUUUGGCCAGGAGCAUCCUGAAGAUCCCCGAUCUGCCCCCUCCACCCAGGGGGUGUUGCCCCCGCUCAUGAGCCGGCCCCAGGGCAAGGCUGGCGACAGCUCUGGGACGGCAGCUGCCCAUAAAAUACUGUCCAGGGGCUUGUCACCGUCCCGGCAGCUGCUGCCCCGGACCUCUGGGAGCCCUCGAUGGCCUGGGGCCGCAGUGAAGCCGUCUCCGCAGCCCGCAGUGGUGGAGAUGGAGGGGGAGGAUGGCUCCGAGUCCGAGGACUCCGUGGGUCCGCUUCUGAAGGGCAAACCCCGGCCUCUGGGAGGCACGGCGGCCGGAGGAGAAGCCCCGGCCACGGCUCCUGGGGUGGCCGCAGGAGGCGUCGCCCUGGUCCCCAAGGAAGAUGCCCGCUUCUCGGCGCCCCGGGUUGCUCUGGCGGAACAGGACGCGCCACCGGCGCCCGGGCGCUCCCCGCUGGCCACCACGGUGAUGGAUUUUAUCCACUUGCCCAUCCUGCCGCUCAACUCGGCCUUCCUGGCCGCCCGCACCCGGCAGCUGCUAGAGGGGGAGAGCUAUGACGGCGGGGCCCCGGCUGUCAGCGCCUUUGCCCCGCCGCGGGGCUCGCCCUCGGCCUCGGCCACCCUGGUGGCCACCAGCGACUUCCCCGACUGCGCGUACCCACCCGACGCCGAGCCCAAGGAGGACGCGUUCCCGUUCUACGGCGACUUCCAGUCGCCCGCCCUGAAGAUCAAGGAGGAGGAGGAAGGCGCCGAGGCCGCCGCGCGCUCCCCGCGGCCGUACCUGGUGGCGAGCGCCAAUCCCGCUAUCUUCACCGAGUUCCCGCUAGCGCCGCCGCCUCUGCCUCAGCGCGCGCCGUCGUCCAGACCCGGGGAAUCGGCCGCGGCGGCCGCCCCCCCGAGUACCUCCGUCUCGUCCGCCUCCUCGUCGGGGUCGACCCUGGAGUGCAUUCUGUACAAGGCGGAGGGCGCGGCGCCCCAGCAAGGCCCGUUUGCGCCGCCGCCCUGCAAGGCGCCGGGCGCGGGCGCCUGCCUGCUGCCGCGGGACGCCCUGCCCUCCACCUCGGCCUCGGCCGCCGCGGGCGUGGCAGCGGCCCCUGCGCUUUACCCGCCGCUCGGCCUCAACGGGCUCCCGCAGCUCGGCUACCAGGCCGCCGUGCUCAAGGAGGGCCUGCCGCAGGUCUACCCGCCCUAUCUCAACUACCUGAGGCCGGAUUCAGAAGCCAGCCAGAGCCCACAGUACAGCUUCGAGUCAUUACCUCAGAAGAUUUGUUUAAUCUGUGGGGAUGAAGCAUCAGGCUGUCAUUAUGGUGUCCUUACCUGUGGGAGCUGUAAGGUCUUCUUUAAAAGGGCAAUGGAAGGGCAACAUAACUAUUUAUGUGCCGGAAGAAAUGACUGCAUUGUUGAUAAAAUCCGCAGAAAAAACUGCCCAGCAUGUCGCCUUAGAAAGUGCUGUCAGGCUGGCAUGGUCCUUGGAGGUCGAAAGUUUAAAAAGUUCAAUAAAGUGCGAGUUAUGAGAGCACUAGAUGCUGUCACUCUCCCACAGCCGGUGGGCAUUCCAAAUGAAAGCCAACCCCUAUGCCAGAGAAUCUCUUUUUCACCAAAUCAGGAUAUACAGUUGAUGCCCCCACUGAUCAACCUGCUAAUGAGCAUUGAACCAGACAUGAUCUAUGCAGGACAUGACAACACCAAACCUGAUACCUCCAGUUCUUUGUUGACAUGUCUUAAUCAACUAGCCGAGAGACAACUUCUUUCAGUAGUCAAGUGGUCUAAAUCACUGCCAGGUUUUCGAAAGUUACAUAUUGAUGACCAGAUAACUCUUAUCCAGUAUUCUUGGAUGAGCUUAAUGGUAUUUGGACUAGGAUGGAGAUCCUAUAAACAUGUCAGUGGACAGAUGCUGUAUUUUGCACCUGAUCUAGUACUAAAUGACGGAUGAAGGAAUCAUCAUUAUAUUCAUUAUGCCUUACCAUGUGGCAGAUCCCACAGGAGUUUGUGAAGCUUCAAGUUAGCCAAGAAGAGUUCCUCUGUAUGAAAGUAUUGUUACUUCUUAAUACAAUUCCUUUGGAAGGACUAAGAAGUCAAAACCAGUUUGAAGAGAUGAGAUCAAACUACAUUAGAGAGCUCAUCAAGGCGAUUGGUUUGAGGCAAAAAGGAGUUGUUUCUAGUUCACAGCGUUUCUACCAACUUACAAAAUUUCUUGAUACCUUGCAUGAUCUUGUCAAACAGCUUCAUCUGUAUUGCUUAAAUACGUUUAUCCAGUCUCGGGCACUGAGUGUUGAAUUUCCAGAAAUGAUGACUGAAGUUAUUGCUGCACAAUUACCAAAAAUCUUGGCAGGGAUGGUGAAACCUCUUCUCUUUCAUAAAAAGUGAAUGACAUUUUUAUCUUUAAAAAAUUAAAUUCUGUGGUAUGUCUGUUUUUGUUUUGGUCAGGAUUAUGAGGUCUUGAGUUUUUACAAUGUUCUUCUCAAAGCCUUACAUUUAUAACAUAUCAUACUGUGUACAUUUCAGAGAAAAUUAUGAGGUUUUGUUUUCCUUUAUAAGCAUAAUUAGAAUUUUUUACGUGUUUUUGUGUACCCAUAUUUAAGAGUUUACAAGAUUGAAAAAGUACUAAAAUUGAUUGUUAAAGUAAACUCAAUCGUAUCCAUAUUAUUUCAUACCAUUUAGGUGAAGAGUUUUAACUUUUGCAUCUAACAAAUCAACUUUAGAGGAAAAAAUCUUAACAUAUAAAAAUAAAAAGCUAUUAUAUAUGUUCCUUGUAGGUAGCUCCCUUUGUCUCCUUGAUUAUAUUUACAAAAAUGAACCUUUAAAUAGGAUGCAAAAUUUUGUCUAUGUGUGUAUAUAUGUUUUUGUGAGGAGGAAAUUCAUUACCCUCAUCAGAUUUUCCAAAGAGUUUUUAAUGCAAAAAAAUACAGAGAAAAGAGUCAAAAAUCCCUCAAACACAUUGAUACUUCUCAAACUAGGAAAAACAGCUCAUAUGUUAAGACUGUUUCCCAGAUUGGAAAUACAAAUCUCUAAGGAAGUUAUUAAGUAGAGCCAUAUCAUUAUGACAACAGUAUUGUGGGUUUUGUAGUUUUUUACUAAGCUUUUUUGGGAAUUGUCCUCUAAUAAGGUACUGUGAAUGGAAUAGGAAGUCAGGAGAGUCUGCGGCCUGACCACUCCUUACCAUCUGGGGCCCGUGGAAAGGCUCUUAACCUUGCUGAUGCUCAAUUUCCUCACCUUUAACCCCGGUGUAAUAAUAUCUUUCCUGAGAAAUGUUUCUUUUAGUCAGAGCUUCUUAUUCACUUCUUCUCAAAUCAGAGAAUGAAGGAAGGAAGGUGAGAAGGGAGGGAGUGAGAGAAGGGGAGGGAGGGAAGGAGAGGGAGGGAAAGGGACGGGGUAGAAAAAAGGAGAGAAAUAUUAUUCUCUUUCUUCACUCAGGGAGGCAUAAUGGAUGAAUCAUAGGUUGAAAAUUUUUGAGUGCCUUAGAUUCCAUUUUAAGAGCUAUUUCAAGAAAUACUAGAUACUGGCUUAAAAUAAUACAACCAAUUAUAAUAACUAGAAAACACAUAAUUCACGUUGUUUUAUGAACUGAAAAUAUUCCUUUUGAAGACAGACAAGAGUUCUUUUCUGAUGUGAGUCACUGGAGAUCCACUUUUUAAAAAAAGAUGUAUAUAAACAGGAAGAACCAAGUUCAUACACUGGUAAAAUUUAAUCAAAACCAAUCAUUGUUUUCUUUUCUAGAUGAAGUAAUUUAUACCAAUUUUAAACAUACAUAGAUAGAUACACACACACACAUAUAUAAUGUUUAACAACUCAGAAAGACUAGUAGACCCAAUUCUUUUUCAAAAUUCCUUUAAAAUUGGACUUUAUCUUACAAAUAAAAUAUAUCACUUUAUGCAAAUUAACGGUUGUUACUAAGAAAAUCAAAGUAACUUUGAAAACAGUAUAGAAAACAUUUACUGAAGUCUAUGAUUUCUUAAUGCAUUUUUAAUUACCCAUUCUCUUCACCUGAUAAAUACUUGCAGUUUACCGAAGGACAAUAACAUAGAUUAAUAUUAAUGAACACUAAUAUGCCCCCAAAACAAGAUAAAGUGGUUUCAUCUGAUAAAAAAUUGGCAUGAAAUGUUACCAUAACUGUUUCUUACCAAUAACUUCUUCAAUUUACAAAAAGAAUUAGCUGUGGAAUAUCUAUAAAUAGUAUAUUCUCAUAAGGCAUUCGAAAUAGGGAUUAAAACAAGCUCCAACCAGGGCCCUUGGCUUCGGUUCAUUAGAUCUAUGUGUCAAAUAAAAUAGAUAAUAUACAAAUUUUAUAAUGCUUGGUUAUAACCUUCAAUAAGAGUUUAAUCCAAUUAUUCCAAAUAGUCUUCACAUUAGUAUAAAAAUGAUCUCUUCCUUGGUAUGUCUAUCUACAUGUCUUUUUCUAUGAAUACAUCUAUCUUACAAUAGACAAUUGACUGCCAUUCAGUUCUGCAAAGUCUUUAUACACAUACAGACUCAUUCUCUCUCUGCCCUCCAGGCCAGUUAUCUUCCUAAAAAGGAUCUUAUUUUGCCAUUUCCUCACUUUAAAAUGUUCACUGACUUCGAGUCACCUAUUGCAGUGAUUCUCAACUAGAGCUGCACAUUAGAGUCUCCAAGUGAGCUUUUUCAAAAUAUCUUUCCUUGGGCUCCACCUCAGAGAUUAGAAUUUAAUUGGUCCACUCUUCUUCUUAAUGUGGGUACAUAAUAGUUACUCUAAAAUGGUGUUCAAGCAUCAUUUCCUGUAACUUUACUCUCUUUAUCCUCCACUGGCAUACAUUUUAUGUUCUAGCCAUGCAAAUCUUUUUACCAUCAAUUUUCUGCCUGAAUCCCCUCUCCCUUUCAUACCAGUCCCACUUGUAUCUCAACCUCAAGACUCAGCCAAACAUCAUUUCUGCAGUGUCUUCCCUACAUCUUCCAGAUAGUGAUUUGCUUCUUCCUAAGGUUCACCAGGUAUUUUGUGCACAUCUGAAUGACAAUAAUGCAUUGUUCUACAAUUCUGACUCUACUACAAGUCUGAGAGCCACUUUGAGGUGUGACAACAGUGUUUCUUGACUGGCAGUUGAAUGACAUGUUCUCUAUCUAUUUUUGGUGUGGCCAUGGAUCUCUCUCAUUCUUUUGUUACAGCAAGGCAUGUCUCUGUAUGCAUGACUUUAUCACCUCACUUCCUAUGGUCCCUAUCUCCGUCUCUUCAUUUCUCUUCAUCUCUUUUAAAUUUUCCACCUUUUCUUUCUACUUUGUAAGGUCUUUCCUUGUACUGACUAUAUUAUAGGAAAAUAUCAGUACAUUUUAUAUUUAUUAAGAACAACACUUUAUAUUCCCUGUUCUAAAUUUUAAAACUGAAUGGAGUAUUAUUUCCUUCCUUAAGAAAUAUUUCACAGAUACAAUUGUUUCUUAUAUUUAAGUAGCCCUAAAUUGUUUGUAUUUUAAACCUCAAUAUACAAAUUUUCCUCA
Equus caballus (horse) is the source of this 7495-nucleotide RNA transcript. It is a transcript of the gene named progesterone receptor, with no coding region annotated. The record is from RefSeq and is a predicted model, not a curated record. NCBI's taxonomy places the organism in Eukaryota, Metazoa, Chordata, Mammalia, Perissodactyla, Equidae.